RNAcentral lists this ribosomal RNA (278 nucleotides) under uncultured bacterium. Its description in RNAcentral is "partial 16S ribosomal RNA". It matches the Rfam family "Bacterial small subunit ribosomal RNA", at positions 55 to 339 of the family's 1533-position model. The record is from RNAcentral.
AUGCAAGUCGAGCGCGAAAGGCCUUCGGGUUGAGUAGAGCGGCGGACGGGUGAGUAACGCGUAGGAAUCUACCCAGUAGUGGGGGACAACAGUCGGAAACGGCUGCUAAUACCGCAUACGCCCAAGGGGGAAAGCGGGGGAUCUUCGGACCUCGCGCUAUUGGAUGAGCCUGCGUCGGAUUAGCUAGUUGGUAGGGUAAAGGCCUACCAAGGCGACGAUCCGUAGCUGGUCUGAGAGGACGAUCAGCCACACUGGGACUGAGACACGGCCCAGACUCC